This 301-nucleotide ribosomal RNA is filed under the name uncultured bacterium. RNAcentral describes it as "partial 16S ribosomal RNA". It matches the Rfam family "Bacterial small subunit ribosomal RNA", at positions 509 to 807 of the family's 1533-position model. The record is from RNAcentral.
CAGUAGCCACGGGAAUACAGAGGGUGCGAGCGUUAAUCGGAUUUACUGGGCGUAAAUCGUGCGUAGGCGGCUAAUUGAGUCGGAUGUGAAAUCCCCGAGCUUAACUUGGGAAUUGCAUUCGAUACUGGUUAGCUAGAGUGUGGGAGAGGAUGGUAGAAUUCCAGGUGUAGCGGUGAAAUGCGUAGAGAUCGGGAGGAACAUCAGUGGCGAAGGCGGCCAUCUGGGACAACACUGACGCUGAGGCACGAAAGCGUGGGGAGCAAACAGGAUUAGAUACCCCAGUAGUCCCUGUCUCUUAUAC